CCUACGGGAGGCAGCAGUAGGGAAUCUUCCACAAUGGGCGCAAGCCUGAUGGAGCAACACCGCGUGAGUGAAGAAGGGUUUCGGCUCGUAAAGCUCUGUUGUUGGAGAAGAACGUGCGUGAGAGUAACUGUUCACGCAGUGACGGUAUCCAACCAGAAAGUCACGGCUAACUACGUGCCAGCAGCCGCGGUAAUACGUAGGUGGCAAGCGUUAUCCAGAUUUAUUGGGCGUAAAGCGAGCGCAGGCGGUUGCUUAGGUCUGAUGUGAAAGCCUUCGGCUUAACCGAAGAAGUGCAUCGGAAACCGGGCAACUUGAGUGCAGAAGAGGACAGUGGAACUCCAUGUGUAGUGGUGGAAUGCGUAGAUAUAUGGAAGAACACCAGUGGCGAAGGCGGCUGUCUGGUCUGCAACUGACGCUGAGGCUCGAAAGCAUGGGUAGCGAACAGGAUUAGAUACCCGAGUAGUC
This 465-nucleotide ribosomal RNA is filed under the name uncultured bacterium. RNAcentral's name for it is "partial 16S ribosomal RNA". It matches the Rfam family "Bacterial small subunit ribosomal RNA", at positions 338 to 795 of the family's 1533-position model. The record is from RNAcentral.